UCCAUGGGGGUCCAGUGGCUAGGACUCCACGCUCCCAACGCAGGUGGCCCAGGUUCAAUCCCUGGUCAGGGAA
Molecule: transfer RNA, 73 nt
Filed under: Bos taurus (domestic cattle)
Lineage: Eukaryota; Metazoa; Chordata; Mammalia; Artiodactyla; Bovidae
Also listed under: 4 other names
Rfam family: tRNA
About the family: Transfer RNA (tRNA) molecules are approximately 80 nucleotides in length. Their secondary structure includes four short double-helical elements and three loops (D, anti-codon, and T loops). Further hydrogen bonds mediate the characteristic L-shaped molecular structure. tRNAs have two regions of fundamental functional importance: the anti-codon, which is responsible for specific mRNA codon recognition, and the 3' end, to which the tRNAs corresponding amino acid is attached (by aminoacyl-tRNA synthetases). tRNAs cope with the degeneracy of the genetic code in two manners: having more than one tRNA (with a specific anti-codon) for a particular amino acid; and 'wobble' base-pairing, i.e. permitting non-standard base-pairing at the 3rd anti-codon position.
Source: Rfam by way of RNAcentral